RNAcentral lists this transfer RNA (94 nucleotides) under Armatimonadota bacterium. RNAcentral describes it as "Armatimonadetes bacterium (soil metagenome) tRNA-Sec". It matches the Rfam family "Selenocysteine transfer RNA". The record is from RNAcentral. Lineage: Bacteria; Bacillati; Armatimonadota. RNAcentral also lists the same sequence under 1 other name.
GGGGGCGGAUGGGUGCUGGUGUGCCUUCCGGUCUUCAAAACCGGUGUGACUCGCUUGCGGGUCAGGUGGGUUCGAUUCCCACACGCUCCCGCCA